AGGAAGUCAAGUACCUUAUACAGCCAGGAAGUUGGCUUAGAAGCAGCCAUCUUUUAAAGAAAGCGUAACAGCUCGCUGGUCUAUUAUGGUAUUUGGCGCCGACAAUGAACCGGGGCUAAAAUUUUUACCGAAGCUAUGGAUGUCGCCGUAAGGCGACGUGGUAGAGGAGCGUACCGCACUUAGUGAAGCUGUGCCGUAAGGCAUGGUGGAAAGUGCGGCAGUGAGAAUGCCGGUAUGAGUAGCGAAAGUCGCCAGAAUAAGGCGACCGCCGAAUGCCCAAGGUUUCCGUUUCAAUGUUAAUCAGAGACGGGUUAAUCGGUCCUAAGGUCAGCCCGCCGCAAGGCGGGGUAGCCGAUGGAUAACAGGUUAAAAUUCCUGUAUUGAAUUGUUCCAACAGAAAGCUUCAGGGGUUGACGGUCGCCUUAGGCGACCCAGGAAAAUAUCCGUGAAGGGGGACAAUUUAACCGUACCACAAACCGACACAGGUGGGCGAGUUGAGUAUACAAAGGCGAUCGGGAUAACUAUCCUUAAGGAACUCGGCAACGAAAGCUGGACGUAAGCUAUGCGAGAUGUCCUGUCCUGAGAGAAAUCGAAGGAUUACAACAAAAGACGCUGAGCGACUGUUUAACAAAAACACAGGUCCCUGCUAAUCCGUAAGGAGAUGUAUAGGGGCUGAUACCUGCCCAGUGCCAGUAAUUUACUGUCUCAAGUGACCUCGCCUCGGCGAGUGAGCCUGGGGCCUAAGAUCUGGUGAACGGCAGCAGUAACUAUAACUGUUCCAUGGUAGCGAAGUUCCUCUUACUAUAAGACAGGGGACAUUCCGAUGUAAAUCGGAAUUGCAAACUUGGCUAUAUGCUGGAAUAUCUGUUCUGCGAAAGCAGUUAAAAGUAUCCGGUGCUAGUUGACAUUUGGGUUUGAUUCGGUAUACGAUAAAUCUAAUGUCCACUAAAAAUGCAUCCGGUGCAGACAAUCAGCAGGAAACGUCGCUAGAUUCUAAGAGCUUCUUAGACCGCAAGGUCACAGAAGCCGAAGGCUUCUAUUACACUGGCUUUUGUGUUGGAGAGUUGAGUUGCUCGGUAAUUCGAGCAAACGAUAAAAGAGGCAGAGGUUUUUACUUCAUGCCUGAUAUAACUGUUUCCAACGCAGAUUUAAAUCUUCUAAAAGAAAUUAAUCAGAUAGUGGCCUCAAAUUUAGGUAAUAUCAGUCCUAUUAAAGGUGGAUAUAACCUAAAAUUUAGAGGUAAAAAGAAGGUUGAAAAAGUUUUUCAAUUUUUCCAAAACUAUCCGGUUAUAACUGGAGAUUUAGCCAAAAGAAAGCUUGAACUUCUAAAGAAUGUUUUACCGGCAAUCGGUGGAAAUUCUAAAGUUUCAAAUAGAGAAAAAGUAAUAGGAAAAUGCCGUAAAAAUUUAAAAGAUCUAAAGCUAAAUGGUCUUGUUGAAGAGAUAAUAGAAAGCAAUCAUUUUAGAAAUGAUGAAAUCGGUUUCUUUUUAGCAGGAAUUAUUGAUGCGGAAGGAUCGUGUGGCUUUAAGAAAUCAGGCACAAGAUUACAACCAUUUUUCGCAGUAGCAAUGAAAGAUCGAAAAAUCAUUGAAUUGAUUCAAGACUUUCUUAACUGCGGAAACAUUCAUGUUAGAACGAAUGAUGGUUUGUAUCAUUGGGAAACCAGCAAGAAAUCUGAUGUACUUAAGGUUGCUGAAAUUUUUAUGACUAUAUAUCCUUCGAAACUUCAAAAGAUGAAGGAUAGAAUGAAGAAUCUAAGACGAACCCACAACGACUAUACGCCAAGAUCCGGCUAUGCCGGAAAAUGAUAUAGUCUGAACUCCGACGCGAGUCGGAGAACUGAGUAGAAAUAUCUCAGUCUUCCGCCACAGGCGGAAAGUAACAAAAUUGUGUCUGGUGAGUUCAGACCCGCACGAAAGGUAGAACGACUUAGCGACUGUCUUGAGGAUAGACUCGGCGAAAUUGCAAUGGCUGUGAAGAUGCGGCCUUCCCAUACUUGGACAAAAAGACCCCGUGGAGCUUUACUGUAGCUUGACCCUGAUUUAAAGUUAAAAUUGUGUAGCGUAGGAGGGAGCUUCGGCACCGAUGAAACACCUCUCUUUUUUGAAUUUAAAUCUAACCGUAACCCUUAUAAAAACAGGGCAUGGAACAAGGUCUGGCGGGCAGUUUGACUGGGGCGGUCCCCUCCAAAAAAGUAACGGAGGGGUACAAAGGUACACUUAAGUCGUAAGGAAAUCGACUGUUAAGCGUAAAGGUAUAAAGUGUGCUUGAUAGCAAGACUUACAAGUCGAGCUAGUGCGAAAGCAGGUCUUAAUGAUCCCCCGACAGCUCGAGGGAGCGUCGGGGCUUAUCGGAUAAAAGCUACCCCGGGGAUAACAGGCUAGUCUUGCCCUACAGUCCACAAGGACGGCAAGGUUCGGCACCUCGAUGUCGGCUCAUCACAGCGCGGGGCUGAAGCAGGUCCCAAGCGUCUGGCUGUUCGCCAGUUAAAGUGGUACGCGAGCUGGGUUCAGAGCGUCGUAAGACAGCUUGAUAGAAAGAACUGUCUUUCUUCAACGAUGCUUUUCCAA
Molecule: ribosomal RNA, 2570 nt
Filed under: bacterium
Lineage: Bacteria
Description: partial 23S ribosomal RNA
Rfam family: Bacterial large subunit ribosomal RNA
Source: RNAcentral